ACCAGACUCCUACGGGAGGCAGCAGUGGGGGAUAUUGCACAAUGAGGGAAACCCUGAUGCAGCGACGCCGCGUGGGCGAAGAAGUCUUUCGGUAUGUAAAGCCCUAUCAGCAGGGAAGAAGAAAUGACGGUACCUGAGUAAGAAGCACCGGCUAAAUACGUGCCAGCAGCCGCGGUAAUACGUAUGGUGCAAGCGUUAUCCGGAUUUACUGGGUGUAAAGGGAGCGCAGGCGGCACGGCAAGCCUGAUGUGAAAGCCCGCGGCCCAACCGCGGGACUGCAUUGGGAACUACCGGGCUGGAGUGCCGGAGAGGUAGGCGGAAUUCCUAGUGUAGCGGUGAAAUGCGUAGAUAUUAGGAGGAACACCAGUGGCGAAGGCGGCCUACUGGACGGUGACUGACGCUGAGGCUCGAAAGCGUGGGGAGCAAACAGGAUUAGAUACCCCUGUAC
Molecule: ribosomal RNA, 448 nt
Filed under: uncultured bacterium
Lineage: Bacteria
Description: bacterial SSU rRNA
Rfam family: Bacterial small subunit ribosomal RNA
Source: RNAcentral